CCUACGGGCGGCAGCAGUCGAGAAUCAUUCACAAUGGGGGAAACCCUGAUGGUGCGACGCCGCGUGGGGGAAUGAAGGUCUUCGGAUUGUAAACCCCUGUCAUGUGGGAGCAAAUUAAAAAGAUAGUACCACAAGAGGAAGAGACGGCUAACUCUGUGCCAGCAGCCGCGGUAAUACAGAGGUCUCAAGCGUUGUUCGGAAUCACUGGGCGUAAAGCGUGCGUAGGCUGUUUCGUAAGUCGUGUGUGAAAGGCGCGGGCUCAACCCGCGGACGGCAGAUGAUACUGCGAGACUAGAGUAAGGGAGUGGGAACCGGAAUUCGCGGUGUAGCAGUGAAAUGCGUAGAUAUCGAGAGGAACACUCGUGGCGAAGGCGGGUUCCUGGACAUUAACUGACGCUGAGGCACGAAGGCCAGGGGAGCGAAAGGGAUUAGAUACCCCGGUAGUC
This 446-nucleotide ribosomal RNA is filed under the name uncultured bacterium. Its description in RNAcentral is "partial 16S ribosomal RNA". It matches the Rfam family "Bacterial small subunit ribosomal RNA", at positions 338 to 795 of the family's 1533-position model. The record is from RNAcentral.